GUGAGGAAUUUUGGACAAUGGGCGCAAGCCUGAUCCAGCAAUGCCGCGUGCAGGAAGAAGGCCUUCGGGUUGUAAACUGCUUUUGUACGGAACGAAACGGUCCUGGUUAAUACCUGGGGCUAAUGACGGUACCGUAAGAAUAAGCACCGGCUAACUACGUGCCAGCAGCCGCGGUAAUACGUAGGGUGCGAGCGUUAAUCGGAAUUACUGGGCGUAAAGCGUGCGCAGGCGGUGCUGUAAGACAGGCGUGAAAUCCCCGGGCUCAACCUGGGAAUUGCGCUUGUGACUGCAGUGCUGGAGUACGGCAGAGGGGGAUGGAAUUCCGCGUGUAGCAGUGAAAUGCGUAGAUAUGCGGAGGAACACCGAUGGCGAAGGCAGUCCCCUGGGCCUGUACUGACGCUCAUGCACGAAAGCGUGGGGAGCAAACAGGAUUAGAUACCCCAGUAGUCC
RNAcentral lists this ribosomal RNA (450 nucleotides) under uncultured bacterium. RNAcentral describes it as "partial 16S ribosomal RNA". It matches the Rfam family "Bacterial small subunit ribosomal RNA", at positions 354 to 796 of the family's 1533-position model. The record is from RNAcentral.